Molecule: antisense RNA, 72 nt
Filed under: Actinoplanes awajinensis subsp. mycoplanecinus
Lineage: Bacteria; Bacillati; Actinomycetota; Actinomycetes; Micromonosporales; Micromonosporaceae
Description: ASpks TB sRNA
Rfam family: ASpks TB sRNA
Source: Rfam by way of RNAcentral
CUUGACCGAGCCGAGCCAGAGCGGUUCGCCGGUACGGCCCGCGCCGUACGUGGCCAGCAGCGCGUUCGCCUC